CCCUUAGAUGUCCUGGGCCGCACGCGCGCUACACUGAGUGUCUGAGAUACGAGUCUGCCUGGUCCGGCAAGGUCUAGGUAAUCGCUAAAAGACACAUCAUGCUUGGGAUAGAUUAUUGCAAAUAUUAAUCUUGAACGAGGAAUUCCUAGUAAGCGCAAGUCAACAGCUUGCGUUGAUUACGUCCCUGCACUUUGUACACACCGCCCGUCGCUACUACUGAUUGGAUGUUUAAGCGAGGUUCUCGAACUGCUAGCGACUUAGCUUCGGUGAGGUCGCAGUGUGGGAAGUGAACCUAGCUUUGGUGUCUAGAGGAAGUAAAAGUCGUAACA
RNAcentral lists this ribosomal RNA (329 nucleotides) under uncultured eukaryote. RNAcentral describes it as "partial 18S ribosomal RNA". It matches the Rfam family "Eukaryotic small subunit ribosomal RNA", at positions 1470 to 1796 of the family's 1831-position model. The record is from RNAcentral.